CAGCGCGCAGGGCGCGUAUCACCAAGCGCAUGGUACAAGCCGCCGGCUCCGGUGAUUAAUUAUCAGCAGCCGCUGGCCUCGCACAUCACCUCGGCUUUCUCGGCAGAGCCAGCACACCCAGCACACCCAGCUGGUGGCCUGGACAGAGGAGCGGCUCUGGGGAGGACGCCGAGGCUGCUCCGGAGCGAGCCCUUAGGGAAACCAUGAAGUAACCCUGCACAUUCCAGUAACACAGUUAUGACAAAACAGAGCCCAACUAUGAAGUGAUCAAAAAUUUUUAAAUGUUAAGAAAGAAAAACAGCACAAACAAAAGUGCACAUAACAAUUCCAGAUUUCUUUAAAAAAAGAAAAGAAAAGAAAGAAAGAAACUUACCUGUUGGGACAUUCUGAAUAAAAGAUUUCUCUGGUCCUACUAACCCUGGAUGUCUCCUGAGGGAAAUAAAAAUCGGUGGAAACAUUUUGAAUACACCCUGAAUCAGGCCAGAUGACAGACACAAGUAAUGGUUUGUACCUGACACCUCCAAAGAAAGUCUACAAUGGCUUGAGUGUACACUUUCUGCUACAUGCACAGCAUGGAACUGAGUAUUUAUGAAUCUAGGGUUUAGAGUAGCAUUUUUUCCCUAUUUUCAGUUAAGGCUCCCUGCACUCUAGACACCCUAUGAUGCUGAUGCCCAGACCAACAUCAUCAAUCAACUUUUUCCUGGUUCCACCCCUCUAAAGGGAAAAAAAAUACUUUCUGUUCAAGAAUGUAUUCCAGCCCUUCGAGAAGGAAUUUCUUCAGCUGGGAGUUAUUUCCCAAACUAUCAGAGGCGUGGACCUUUGUGUAGUAUUGUGGGUGCCAUGGUUUCACAUGUUGGCCACAUUAAUACUGGAGAGCAAGCAUCUGUAACCCACAGCUGAGUGUGCUCCGGCCCCAAAGCACCCGCAAGGCCAAUGCCAAUGCAAACCACUCUUCCCAUCCCACAUCUGAACCACACUGGCUUUCUCCAGGAGCCAGGGGCUGAGAUACAAUUCUGAAAAUGACGGUUUUGGGUUCUCUCCAUUCACAUGACGGGUAUAGGGUAUUGAGAAGAACACUGUCAAAGGGACUGGAUCUUUUUUCUCUCCCAUUCCACACCAAGUGAAUAAACCAUAAAGAGGUUGUCUGAUGGUGUUCCAAAAUACCCCAGGGGAAAAACCUAAACAGAUAAAUAUAUAUCUUGUUGCACUAUUUUUGUUUUUCUUUCUAGAGUCUUAUAGUUUUAGCACCUUCGGCUAGACUCAUUAAGGUUGAAAAAUAUAGAAGUAUGAAAAAGUGGAAAUAAAGGAGAAACAUGGGAGGCCCUGAUUUUGCAUCACUUUCUCAGAGAGAUCUCCACAAAUCCUAGAAAUAAUGAAAGAGUUGAUGAAAAAAUGUAGGACAAGACUAGUUUCUUGUAUUACUUUUGCUACAACCACCACUGUAGCUAAGAUGAUUAUUCAUAUUAAUGAGUUUGGUGUAUGUAGACAAACUAUAAAAGAUGCAGUCUCUGACCUCAAGUACUUAUCUCUGUCUUAGGGGAUUUACUCCUCCUGCUAGAUUUACUUUUAUUCUCCAUACCCUUGCCUAGAGGAAAUGAUCAUCACUCAGGACUUGGAGCCUUUCCAUGGGUGGAGUUUAAAUAUGGCAACAAGAAGAGAAGGAACCUUUGCCCUUGAACACAGACAAUGUUGGCACCACAACUCGGGAUGUCUAGUUUGUGACAAAAAGAAAUAUAAACUCCUUGUGAAAUAUUUACACUGGCCUUACUGAGCUUUAUCAGAAAAACCUUAUAAAGUAGGAACGAAGAUAGUAUUCCAGUGUUUUAUCACAUCCAGUACACAUAUAAACCAUAUCAUUGGACACAAAUGAGCUAAUAUUAGACAACAAUUUCAACUUUCUCUUUACAUUCAGUUACUUAUGUUUUGUGUGUGUGCUUAUAGCAACCUAUGGAGUCAGUUUUGCCCAGUGGUUAAGUGCCAAAGUUCUGCAGUCGAUUACGCGGGUUUGAAUACCUGGGGAAACUUUUACUAAUCAUAUGAGCUCAGCAAGUUAC
Molecule: long non-coding RNA, 2054 nt
Organism: Artibeus jamaicensis (Jamaican fruit-eating bat)
Lineage: Eukaryota; Metazoa; Chordata; Mammalia; Chiroptera; Phyllostomidae
Exons: 3
Source: RefSeq, a predicted model, not a curated record